UAACCUGUGCUGUAGAAACUUGAGCAUGCAGUUCACGGAGGAAGCCAAAACUCCAGAUGGCUCCUCUGGCACCCAGGAUAUAUGGUGGCACCUGAAUGGACUCUCUUUUAGGGGGUAGGAGCAAAUUCCGUGGUACUGCUGGGACCUAUGAUACUGGUGAUGCUUUGAUCUCUCACUCUUCUUGUGCUGAUUGUGGGUGCUGUGCUAUUUUAAACCCACAUGGAAGUAUGUUUUCAGGACCAUCUGCUACCGGCCCUAACCCAGAUGAUACAGUUAGAGCCUGCCCACAGCAUCCUCCCCUCCUUCAGGCGGUUCCAGGAACAAGCGCAGCUUUCUGGUCAUCCACUCAUUUGGCAAAACUGGCAAAACGUGCCCUCUCCUUUGGACUGCUGCUGUCGUCACGCUUCUCCUGGAUGCACUUAGCAUGCUGUACUGCUUGCCACCCAGCAGGUUAA
This 455-nucleotide long non-coding RNA is filed under the name Anas platyrhynchos platyrhynchos (common mallard). RNAcentral's name for it is "lncRNA (ENSAPLG00000018852.1)". Lineage: Eukaryota; Metazoa; Chordata; Aves; Anseriformes; Anatidae. The record is from RNAcentral.